GUCUUUUUGUAUUUUAUGAAAAGUUUAACCUGCCCAUUGAUAUAAUUAAAAGGCUGCGGUAUUUUGACCGUACAAAGGUAGCAUAAUCAUUAGUUUUUUAAUUGAAAACUUGUAUGAAUGGUUGAAUGAAAUAUUAACUGUUUUAAUUAAAAUUUUUGAAUUUUACUUUUUAAUUAAAAGGUUAAAAUAAAUUUAAAAGACGAGAAGACCCUAUAGAGUUUUAUAGUUAUUAUUUUAUAUUUAAUAAAGAUUUACUAAAUAAUAUAUUAUAUUAAUUAUUUUGUUGGGGUGAUAAUAAAAUUUAAAAAACUUUUAUUUUAAAUUUAAUAAUACAUUAAUAUAUGAAAAUAUGAUCCAUUAUUAAUGAUUAUAAAAUUAAAUUACCUUAGGGAUAACAGCGUAAUUUUUUUUUAAGUUCAUAUUAAUAAAAAAUUUUGCGACCUCGAUGUUGGAUUAAGAUUUAAUUUUAGGUGCAGAAGUUUAAAUUUUAAGUCUGUUCGACUUUUAAAUUCUU
Molecule: ribosomal RNA, 514 nt
Filed under: Leptosciarella (Leptospina) sp. 3 SS-2012
Lineage: Eukaryota; Metazoa; Arthropoda; Insecta; Diptera; Sciaridae
Description: partial 16S ribosomal RNA
Source: RNAcentral